This 568-nucleotide ribosomal RNA is filed under the name Salmonella enterica subsp. enterica serovar Oranienburg. RNAcentral describes it as "partial 23S ribosomal RNA". It matches the Rfam family "Bacterial large subunit ribosomal RNA", at positions 1 to 599 of the family's 2925-position model. RNAcentral also lists the same sequence under 1 other name. The record is from RNAcentral. Lineage: Bacteria; Pseudomonadati; Pseudomonadota; Gammaproteobacteria; Enterobacterales; Enterobacteriaceae.
GGGUUGUGAGGUUAAGCGACUAAGCGUACACGGUGGAUGCCCUGGCAGUCAGAGGCGAUGAAGGACGUGCUAAUCUGCGAUAAGCGCCGGUAAGGUGAUAUGAACCGUUAUAACCGGCGAUUUCCGAAUGGGGAAACCCAGUGUGACUCGUCACACUAUCAUUAACUGAAUCCAUAGGUUAAUGAGGCGAACCGGGGGAACUGAAACAUCUAAGUACCCCGAGGAAAAGAAAUCAACCGAGAUUCCCCCAGUAGCGGCGAGCGAACGGGGAGGAGCCCAGAGCCUGAAUCAGCAUGUGUGUUAGUGGAAGCGUCUGGAAAGGCGCGCGAUACAGGGUGACAGCCCCGUACACAAAAGCGCAUGUGCUGUGAGCUCGAUGAGUAGGGCGGGACACGUGGUAUCCUGUCUGAAUAUGGGGGGACCAUCCUCCAAGGCUAAAUACUCCUGACUGACCGAUAGUGAACCAGUACCGUGAGGGAAAGGCGAAAAGAACCCCGGCGAGGGGAGUGAAAAAGAACCUGAAACCGUGUACGUACAAGCAGUGGGAGCACCCUUUGGGGUGUGACUG